UACGUAGGUGGCAAGCGUUGUCCGGAUUUACUGGGCGUAAAGAGCGCGUAGGCGGGACGGCAAGUCGGUCGUGAAAUCCCUCGGCUCAACUGAGGAGCGUCGAUCGAAACUGCCGUUCUUGAGGGUUGCAGAGGAGACUGGAAUUCCCGGUGUAGCGGUGAAAUGUGUAGAGAUCGGGAGGAACACCGGUGGCGAAGGCGGGUCUCUGGGCAACUCCUGACGCUGAGGCGCGAAAGCGUGGGGAGCAAACGGG
Molecule: ribosomal RNA, 253 nt
Filed under: uncultured bacterium
Lineage: Bacteria
Description: partial 16S ribosomal RNA
Rfam family: Bacterial small subunit ribosomal RNA
Source: RNAcentral